UUUCCGUAGGUGAACCUGCGGAAGGAUCAUUAAAGUUAUAGUCCCCCAGCCCUCUGGGCUGGGGUCUUCUAUACCACCCUUUGUUUAUUACACCUUUGUUGCUUUGGCAGGCCUGCCCUCGGGCUGCUGGCUCCGGCCGGCUCGCGUCUGCCAGAGGACCUAAACUCUGUUUGUAUAUGAAGUCUGAGUACUAUAUAAUAGUUAAAACUUUCAACAACGGAUCUCUUGGUUCUG
This 234-nucleotide unclassified non-coding RNA is filed under the name plant metagenome. RNAcentral's name for it is "partial contains small subunit ribosomal RNA, internal transcribed spacer 1, and 5.8S ribosomal RNA". The record is from RNAcentral.